GACGAACGCUGGCGGCGUGCCUAAUACAUGCAAGUUGGGCGCUGAAGGUUGGUACUUGUACCAACUGGAUGAGCAGCGAACGGGUGAGUAACGCGUGGGGAAUCUACCUUUGAGCGGGGGACAACAUUUGGAAACGAAUGCUAAUACCGCAUAAAAACUUUAAACACAAGUUUUAAGUUUGAAAGAUGCAAUUGCAUCACUCAAAGAUGAUCCCGCGUUGUAUUAGCUAGUUGGUGAGGUAAAGGCUCACCAAGGCGAUGAUACAUAGCCGACCUGAGAGGGUGAUCGGCCACAUUGGGACUGAGACACGGCCCAAACUCCUACGGGAGGCAGCAGUAGGGAAUCUUCGGCAAUGGACGAAAGUCUGACCGAGCAACGCCGCGUGAGUGAAGAAGGUUUUCGGAUCGUAAAACUCUGUUGGUAGAGAAGAACGUUGGUGAGAGUGGAAAGCUCAUCAAGUGACGGUAACUACCCAGAAAGGGACGGCUAACUACGUG
Molecule: ribosomal RNA, 497 nt
Filed under: uncultured bacterium
Lineage: Bacteria
Description: partial 16S ribosomal RNA
Rfam family: Bacterial small subunit ribosomal RNA
Source: RNAcentral